GUUUAAAAUCGACUAUAAACAGGGUUAGUCACGGUUUAAUUUUAAAAAGGUUUUAAACUGUAAACAUGAGUUAACCCUGUUUCAGCAAUUUUAACUCCUUUUUUUAGCGAAGGAUUUCACUAUUAACCUUAACACAUCGGUUUAAAUCUUGCGCAAGGUUUGAAUGGUUUUAAAUUUCUAUCAUGGUGAGAUUCUUAAUGCAUUUAAGGGUUUCUCGUGUAAACUUGUCAAGUGGAAUCAGUAAGAGAAAAAUGGUGUUUAGUGUUCAGUGUGCCUCAAAGAAUGGAGGCAUUCGCGUUGACAUUUUUGGGAUUGGGGCUCAAUAUGAGCCCCCACAGUGACCACCCAGGGACAUAUCAACGACAAGAAGAGUAAAUUGUGAAAAGUUCUGUGAUGUCGGAACUCCAGAUUUGCAGAAGUUCGAACGAGAGGAUCAUACUGAAACAUGGAAAUUCUACCUAAAAUUUCAAGAGGAGAGAGCAGAAGCACGCCAGGGAGCAGUGGAAAGUGCAAAAUAAAAUAAUUGCCACCGUCCUAACCUCUUACACAUCCUUUGAAGUGGUGCAGACUGAAGCAGGAUUGAUUAAUUUCAGGAAUUACGUAGGUUUCAGAAACCAAAAAAUAUGCCCUCUUAAUUUUUUUUUAAAUAUAAUAAAGAAUAUUUCUUCAAAUCCAACUCUGAAACAUAAAAGUACAACAUUAGAACAAUAUUUUCUAAAAUUUUCAUUUACAAAUUUUAAGAGGCUGAUCUUUUAAAAUGAUUUUCGGAGACAUACUCACAUAAUUUUUCUCUGAAAUCAGAAAACUAAAUAUUUGCUAUUAGCAGUUGAGUAAAAGUUAUAUUUCAACGAAAGUUUAAAAACAUGAAAUUUGUUUUCAAUAGCAUUUUUUACAAGAAAAAAUGGCGUAUUCUACACUACAUUUCGCCGUGCAAAAUAAGGUAUGACCAAGGAAAAAAAAAACAAAUCCUUGUUUAAGUUUUAAACAAUCAACUCUAGAAGUAUGCAAAUUUUCGAUGUAAUUGAUGCAUUAGUUUUCGAAAAAUUUUGCAUAUAAAUCUCACAAAUUGAGAUUUUAAAAAGAGCUUUUAAAGUUGAUGCUUCUCAAUUGGCUUUAAAUAAAUUUGUAAAGGCUCUAUCCUAAAGUUUCUCACUGGCUUGAAGCUUUGAGAUGAGAAAAUAUUCUUCACAUGUUGUACUUUGUUAUCAAAGAAUAUGUAUAUAUAUUUUUUUUAAGUUGCAAUACGUAUGUGGAAUUUUUUUUUUAAAUGCCUUUUUAAAGCAAAUUUCCCAUAUCCUUGUAGGUAGAAACGUCAGAAUUUUUUAAAAAAGGCAUUUUUAAAAAAAAUUUCCACUAGUGUGUAGACGCCAAGUUAAGGUAAUCCAGAUAUAUUUAUUUAUUUUUCAUUGAGAUAAGAUUAAAUAUUGAAAAAGAAUAUAGGUAAACAAAUACUGUCAAUUUUUCUUGAUGGAUUUUCCUAAGUUUUGCUUAAUUAUUUUGAAAAAAAAAAAAAACUUUUCUCAUGCUGUUGUAAAAUUUACUCCCUAGUUUUUGCCACUAUUGUUUAAAAAAGCUUUAAAUAACAAAUAUUUUUACGAUAAAUAAUAAUAUAAUAAAGUUUAAAGUAAUGAAAUAACUAGGAGUUAUAAAUUCUUAUAUUUGUGUUAAAUUGUAAUUUUUUUAAUAGUAAAAUAAGGAAUUAUAAUAAUAUAUUGUUAGAGAAACAAAUACCAUUUUAUUGUAAUAAAUUCUAAAUGUUUACUUAACC
This is a long non-coding RNA of Phlebotomus papatasi, 1768 nucleotides long. RefSeq lists it as uncharacterized. The transcript is spliced from 2 exons. The record is from RefSeq and is a predicted model, not a curated record. Lineage: Eukaryota; Metazoa; Arthropoda; Insecta; Diptera; Psychodidae.